GUGUUUGAUAACUUUCUUUCAGGGACCACUAAAGGAACAGAUGUGAAGUCACCAGUUACUAGUGAAAGAGAUGCUAUAAAAGAAAAAGUGAAGCUACCAGUUGUUGCCAAAGAAAAAGCACCCAAAACAAAGGAAGCAAAGCCUGCAGUUGCCCAGAAACAAAAAG
Molecule: long non-coding RNA, 166 nt
Organism: Heteronotia binoei (common prickly gecko)
Lineage: Eukaryota; Metazoa; Chordata; Lepidosauria; Squamata; Gekkonidae
Exons: 3
Source: RefSeq, a predicted model, not a curated record